AUUGAACGCUGGCGGCAUGCUUUACACAUGCAAGUCGAACGGCAGCACGGGAGCAAUCCUGGUGGCGAGUGGCGAACGGGUGAGUAAUACAACGGAACGUGCCCAGUAGUGGGGGAUAGCCCGGCGAAAGCCGGAUUAAUACCGCAUAUGCCCUGAGGGGGAAAGCGGGGGACCGAAAGGCCUCGCGCUAUUGGAGCGGCCGAUGGCUGAUUAGCUAGUUGGUGGGGUAAAGGCCCACCAAGGCGACGAUCAGUAGCUGGUCUGAGAGGACGACCAGCCACACUGGGACUGAGACACGGCCCAGACUCCUACGGGAGGCAGCAGUGGGGAAUUUUGGACAAUGGGCGCAAGCCUGAUCCAGCAAUGCCGCGUGUGCGAAGAAGGCCUUCGGGUUGUAAAGCACUUUUGUUUGGAAAGAAAAGGUCAGUGUUAAUACCACUGGCUGAUGACGGUACCAAUCGAAUAAGCACCGGCUAACUACGUGCCAGCCGCCGCCGUAA
RNAcentral lists this ribosomal RNA (500 nucleotides) under uncultured bacterium. RNAcentral's name for it is "partial 16S ribosomal RNA". It matches the Rfam family "Bacterial small subunit ribosomal RNA", at positions 29 to 523 of the family's 1533-position model. The record is from RNAcentral.